CCUCUACGAAAACUAGAAAACAUAAUGAACUGUGUCUUAUCAUUACAUGCAUCAUGUUGUAUUUCCACUGCCAUUCUAAUGCUUUAAAUUUCUCUAUCUCGGAAACAAGCUUGUCGAGAUAAAUAGAUUAGAAUGACAUGGUUUGGAAGAUUUUCUGAGUAAUGUAAGGAAUCUUGAGAGAAAUCUGAAGAAAGUGGAAGCUAAAAUAGUGGCUCUGAAGAUAUCACUCCUCAAGAAGGUCAACAAAGGGUCUAACAUUGUGAUAAUGGACUCGUAAGUUUUCCUAAUUUUUUAUUUAUUAUUUUACUGGAGUUUCUUAAGUCUUUUUGUUUUUUUUCUUUUCUUGUGGAACAUCAUCUGGAAUAGCCGAAUAGGGAUCUAUAUAUGUAUAAGCUUUAAUAUCUUGAGUAGGUUGCGAGCAGGGAUGGCUGUAAUACCUUUUCUUAUUAGGACCAACUGCAUAUUAUGGAUAGAUGAAAGAAACAUCACGACAUUGAGAAUUGAUCUUUUUUAUUCGAAAGCAUUAUUUAAAUUGAGUUGCUCAAGGCCUUCUGACUAUGUUUAGGGCCUUAUUGGAGUCGUUUUACUUGCAUUGAACACCCUAAAAAUGAGAAGAUUAUGCCUAUAUAUUGAUCCAAACAUUAUUGAUUGCAUCAAAUACAAAGAUCCAAAACACCUCAAUACUGAUGUUAAGAAGGCUCCCACAAGUGCAGUAAAACAACAACUUAUAGUUAUGCGGAAUUUAGGUGCUUUGCAACUAUAUAUUGGAAAAAAUGAGAAUAGUGCAGGCAAUAGGUCCUAUCGAUGGUAAUCUGAAGCAAUAUCCCAAAGAAGCAUGGGAUGACCUGCAGAAAUUUCUAUCAUCUUCUAUUGGACGAGCUUUCAUAAGUGCUACACAGUACAGGUAAUGGGUUCUCAUUUAGUUUGGGCCUUAUUGAAUUAUGGUUGAUGUUUGGGGAACUUUCUAAAGUUCUUAUAUAGGCAAAGAGCUUCUAAUUUGAUAUUUAAUUUAACAUUGUAUAGUGUAAAAGUUAGUUAGGCUUAGGAAAUGGUUCCUUGUGUUGGUCUAUUUUACCUUUUUAAAAGAAAAGAAAAGAUGCCUCCUCAUAUUUAUCUAGCUAUUAUAUCUCGGUCCUGAGCUUGAUUAUUUACUUGAUCUUUUACUAGGUUUGAUUUACCUUUUUAGCAGAAAAGAAAAGAUGUUUCCUCAUGUGUAUCUGGUUGUUAUAUCCCAAUCCUAAGCUUGCUUAUUUACUUGAUCUUUCACUAGGUCUGAAGCAGUUACGGUUAUUAAGAAAUUAUGCCUAAAGGAGUUUGCUUUAGGAGAAAUACUUCAAAUCUUGCACAUGGUUAUUAACAUGAAGAAAUGGAUUAUACAACCUCAAUCUAGAUAGCAAUCAAUUAAGAUUACUCUUACAGAGAUCGUUCCCAAUUUAGUGGUGGUUGCUGCAACAUAAAAUCUGCAAGAUCUGGUUAUGGCUGGGGAAUGAUGGCUUAUAUAGAUGUGGUUGGUUGUUUAUAUGAAAUUGAUGAUAUAGAGAAUUGUGGAUCGAAGGGAAAAAAAGGAAGAUUCAAAUUAUUACUGAUUAGAAGAGUUGAUUUUGAAUCUGAUGGAUAUUAAGGAGCUGUUUGAUUCUGAGUGGAGUUCUAAAAUACAGGUAUUUGCUAACGUCUCAUUGGGUAACUUGAAAGAUCUCGAGGAAGAACUAUAAGUCACCGAUGGUGCUAAAAGUAGAAUAAAAAGACACCUAAUCAUACAUGGUGAAGAAUUAAGUGUUGAAGAUGUAAAUAGGUUUAAGAAGUAGAGAGGUUAUUGUUGUUCCAAACCUGUAACUGAUGUUUGAGAUUACACAAAAUGGUUUCAAACUGUUGUCAUUUUUAGUUUGUUGUGACGA
Molecule: long non-coding RNA, 1895 nt
Organism: Capsicum annuum
Lineage: Eukaryota; Viridiplantae; Streptophyta; Magnoliopsida; Solanales; Solanaceae
Exons: 5
Source: RefSeq, a predicted model, not a curated record